GGAUGUGAGGGUGAUCUGGCCGCAGCCUCUAUUCACCACUGAUAGCCAAGGGAUAUUCAGUUGGCUCUCCUCCUCCUUUACCUCUUCAGUAAGGUCCCUCCUGAAGUUGUACUUUCUUGGUUAAGGAGAGAAGCAAUGGAUUUGUUCUCCUCCACAAUAGGGCUAUGGGAGAACCGUCUCCACGAAGCUCCGACUGACCACUUCACCUGGAAAUGGCCUCAUGCC
This 225-nucleotide small RNA is filed under the name Choloepus hoffmanni (Hoffmann's two-fingered sloth). RNAcentral's name for it is "7SK RNA (ENSCHOG00000015719.1)". Lineage: Eukaryota; Metazoa; Chordata; Mammalia; Pilosa; Megalonychidae. The record is from RNAcentral.